This is a non-coding RNA of Salmo salar (Atlantic salmon), 54 nucleotides long. NCBI's taxonomy places the organism in Eukaryota, Metazoa, Chordata, Actinopteri, Salmoniformes, Salmonidae. The record is from Rfam.
CCUAAUUGCACCUGUAAAUCGCUCUGGAUAAGAGCAUCUGCUAAAUGACAAAAA